RNAcentral lists this non-coding RNA (22 nucleotides) under Drosophila melanogaster (fruit fly). Lineage: Eukaryota; Metazoa; Arthropoda; Insecta; Diptera; Drosophilidae. The record is from RNAcentral.
UAUCACUUUGUGCGUUGAAAAG